AGCGGCGGACGGGUGAGUAACGCGUGGGUAACCUGCCCUAUACACACGGAUAACAUACCGAAAGGUAUGCUAAUACGAGAUAAUAUAAGAGAUUCACAUGGAUUUCUUAUCAAAGCUGAGGCGGUAUAGGAUGGACCCGCGUCUGAUUAGCUAGUUGGUAAGGUAACGGCUUACCAAGGCGACGAUCAGUAGCCGACCUGAGAGGGUGAUCGGCCACAUUGGAACUGAGACACGGUCCAAACUCCUACGGGAGGCAGCAGUGGGGAAUAUUGCACAAUGGGCGAAGGCCUGAUGCAGCAACGCCGCGUGAGUGAUGAAGGCCUUCGGGUCGUAAAACUCUGUCCUCAAGGAAGAUAAUGACGGUACUUGAGGAGGAAGCCCCGGCUAACUACGUGCCAGCAGCCGCGGUAAUACGUAGGGGGCUAGCGUUAUCCGGAUUUACUGGGCGUAAAGGGUGCGUAGGUGGUCUCUUAAGUCAGGAGUGAAAGGCUACGGCUUAACCGUAGUAAGCUCUUGAAACUGGGAGACUUGAGUGCAGGAGAGGAAAGUGGAAUUCCUAGUGUAGCGGUGAAAUGCGUAGAGAUUAGGAAGAACACCAGUGGCGAAGGCGCUUCUCUGGACUGUAACUGACGCUGAGGCUCGAAAGCGUGGGGAGCAAACAGGAUUGGAUACCCUGGUAGUCCACGCCGUAAACGAUGAGUGCUAAGUGU
RNAcentral lists this ribosomal RNA (710 nucleotides) under uncultured bacterium. RNAcentral describes it as "bacterial SSU rRNA". It matches the Rfam family "Bacterial small subunit ribosomal RNA", at positions 94 to 823 of the family's 1533-position model. The record is from RNAcentral.